CGCCUACGGGGGGCAGCAGUGAGGAAUAUUGGUCAAUGGACGAGAGUCUGAACCAGCCAAGUAGCGUGAAGGAUGACUGCCCUAUGGGUUGUAAACUUCUUUUAUAAAGGAAUAAAACGAGGCACGUGUGCCUUUUUGCAUGUACUUUAUGAAUAAGGAUCGGCUAACUACGUGCCAGCAGCCGCGGUAAUACGUAGGGGGCUAGCGUUAUCCGGAAUUACUGGGCGUAAAGGGUGCGUAGGUGGUUUCUUAAGUCAGAGGUGAAAGGCUACGGCUCAACCGUAGUAAGCCUUUGAAACUGGGGA
Molecule: ribosomal RNA, 305 nt
Filed under: uncultured bacterium
Lineage: Bacteria
Description: bacterial SSU rRNA
Rfam family: Bacterial small subunit ribosomal RNA
Source: RNAcentral